GGGGCUGAUUUUGGAUUUGACGAGAUUUUCAAAAUCUGAAGCGCAUGUCGAGGUACGGUAGGCCUCGUUAAUAAACCGUAAAUAAAUAGUCGCAAACGACAAAAACUACGCUUUAGCAGCCUAAUAAGUUUCUAGGGCCCUUUCUACCUGAUUUUGCUCUUGGAAAUAGGAAAUAGAAAGGUCAAUAUAUCAAGAGAUCGCACUAAUCAGACUUACCUAAAAAUGAGAAGUGUUAAAAAUAAAAACUUAGGUUAAUUCGAUAUAAGCUUGUCUAACUGCAUUUAUCGAAUGAAAAAAAGUUAGACUAAACAUGUAGAACUUAAGAUGUAGAAGUUUCGGACGCGGGUUCAACUCCCGCCAGCUCCACCA
Molecule: transfer-messenger RNA, 369 nt
Filed under: Enterobacteriaceae (enterobacteria)
Lineage: Bacteria; Pseudomonadati; Pseudomonadota; Gammaproteobacteria; Enterobacterales
Also listed under: 1 other name
Description: SoEE sp002933355 Standard tmRNA
Rfam family: transfer-messenger RNA
About the family: Bacterial tmRNA, also known as 10Sa RNA or SsrA, is named for its dual tRNA and mRNA-like properties. Its role is to liberate the mRNA from a stalled ribosome.
Source: RNAcentral